Molecule: transfer RNA, 70 nt
Filed under: Marmota marmota marmota (Alpine marmot)
Lineage: Eukaryota; Metazoa; Chordata; Mammalia; Rodentia; Sciuridae
Also listed under: 3 other names
Rfam family: tRNA
About the family: Transfer RNA (tRNA) molecules are approximately 80 nucleotides in length. Their secondary structure includes four short double-helical elements and three loops (D, anti-codon, and T loops).
Source: Rfam by way of RNAcentral
GGGAAUGUAGCUCAGUGGCAGAGCAUUUGCCUCAUAUGCAAGGUCCUGGGUUUGAUUCCCAGCACUGCCA